AGCGGAUUAUGUUAAAUGUGAACAGUCAAAAAUUACUUUUAUGGUUCAAUAAAUUCAAAAUAAAUUAUUGCCAUUCAUUAUAAAUAAAUUUCUAUCAAAAAUAAUGCUCAAAGAUAUAUAUUAAUACCAAUAACAACGUUCACAGAUGUUUGCGUAUGAAUACACAACGUUAGAGUGGGCGUGUCUCCAUAAAAAUUGAUAACAUUGAAAAUAAAGCCAAUUCUUUUAGCCAAUCAGAAGACAGUAAAUACACCAAAGAGGUAGAGCCGAUUUGCCGAGGAUUUGUUUCAUUCGAUAAGAUAGGUAAUUCAUGUUUUAAAUAGCCCGACCGAUGCUAAUUAUAGUACACGAAAAUACGUCACAUCAUCUAUUUCCAUACCUUGAACAGGUAUUCCUACAGUAACAAGGCCAAGACUAUUGAUUUUUUAAUAUUGAUUCUAUUCUAUUAUUAACAUCCUUUAUGCAAG
RNAcentral lists this long non-coding RNA (467 nucleotides) under Mytilus galloprovincialis (Mediterranean mussel). Lineage: Eukaryota; Metazoa; Mollusca; Bivalvia; Mytilida; Mytilidae. The record is from RNAcentral.